GGGGGAAUAUUGGACAAUGGGCGAAAGCCUGAUCCAGCCAUGCCGCGUGUGUGAAGAAGGUCUUCGGAUUGUAAAGCACUUUAAGUUGGGAGGAAGGGUUGUAGAUUAAUACUCUGCAAUUUUGACGUUACCGACAGAAUAAGCACCGGCUAACUCUGUGCCAGCAGCCGCGGUAAUACAGAGGGUGCAAGCGUUAAUCGGAAUUACUGGGCGUAAAGCGCGCGUAGGUGGUUAGUUAAGUUGGAUGUGAAAUCCCCGGGCUCAACCUGGGAACUGCAUUCAAAACUGACUGACUAGAGUAUGGUAGAGGGUGGUGGAAUUUCCUGUGUAGCGGUGAAAUGCGUAGAUAUAGGAAGGAACACCAGUGGCGAAGGCGACCGACCUGGACUGAUACUGACA
RNAcentral lists this ribosomal RNA (399 nucleotides) under uncultured bacterium. RNAcentral's name for it is "bacterial SSU rRNA". It matches the Rfam family "Bacterial small subunit ribosomal RNA", at positions 355 to 745 of the family's 1533-position model. The record is from RNAcentral.